Molecule: long non-coding RNA, 632 nt
Organism: Manduca sexta (tobacco hornworm)
Lineage: Eukaryota; Metazoa; Arthropoda; Insecta; Lepidoptera; Sphingidae
Exons: 2
Source: RefSeq, a predicted model, not a curated record
AAUCGUUUCCUUUGUUGUCAUUCAAAGAGUAUUACUAGUCAUUGGUGUAGCACACUGCACAGCACGCCAAUGCUUAUAUCCAUUAAAAAAAAAAAAAAAAAAAAAAAAAAAAUUGGAAUAGGUAACUCUGAGCAAAGAAGGGCAUAAAUGUCACGUUAUUAAAACAAGUUUAUGGCGUUUGUAAAUUUCUUACGUCGGAAUCUUGUGAGCAUAUCAUUCCCGACGCUGACUGCUACAUUCAUAUUUCUUGACUGGAAUCACACCAGGAAGUGGAAGCAGGCAAACAAGCAGAACUAAAAUGGCCAUAUUUGGUAUCACAACUCGCUUUGCAUGGGUUGCCCUGCCCAUGUCUGGUUUUUUCAUUGGAAAAUAUUUGGAUGACCAGGAAACACUAAGAAUGACGAACUUCAGAGAUAAAUCCGCCCUGUAUGGUGGCAAUGUAAAAGAGGGAGAUCCACCAUCCUGGCCUUGAAUUAUUAUUUAAUUUCAGUCUUUUCAUUAAGCACCAGUUAAAUUAGUUAUUCAAUCAGCUUCUUGUUUAUAACUGGUUUAUGUCAAUGAUUAAAUACUAGGUAUUGAAAAUUAUUCCUUUGUGAAACUAACAGCUGUCUGAAUAAACAGGUCUAUGUAGA